This 186-nucleotide ribosomal RNA is filed under the name uncultured bacterium. Its description in RNAcentral is "partial 16S ribosomal RNA". It matches the Rfam family "Bacterial small subunit ribosomal RNA", at positions 330 to 509 of the family's 1533-position model. The record is from RNAcentral.
AGCGUCAUCCUACGGGGGCAGCAGUAGGGAAUUUUCGUCAAUGGCGCAAGCCUGAACGAGCGAUGCCGCGUGAGUGAAGAAGGCCUUCGGGUCGUAAAGCUCUGUUGCGGGGGAAAAAAGGACAGCAUCAGGAAAUGGGUGCUGACUGAUGGUGCCCCGCCAGAAAGUCACGGCUAACUACGUGCC